Molecule: ribosomal RNA, 492 nt
Filed under: uncultured bacterium
Lineage: Bacteria
Description: partial 16S ribosomal RNA
Rfam family: Bacterial small subunit ribosomal RNA
Source: RNAcentral
AAUGAACGCUGGCGGUAUGCCUAACACAUGCAAGUCGAACGGCAGCACAGUAACAUCUUGCUCUUCCGGGUUGCGAGUGGCGGACGGAUCACGUAUACAUCCUGAUCUACUUUUUCGUGGGGGCUUACGUAACUAAAUCUACUCUAAUACCGCAUACGACCUUCGGUUGAGUGCAGGGGAUCUUCUCACCUUGCGCUAUUGUCUGAGCCUAUGGUGGAUUAGCUAGUUGGCGGGGUAAAGGCCCACCCAGGGGACGAGCCGUAGCUGGUCUGAGAGGAUGAUCAGCCACAAGGGAAGUGAGAGACGGUCAAGAAUCCUACGGGAGGCAGCAGUGGGGAAUAGUGGAGAAGGGGCGCAAGCCUGAUACAGCCAGACCGCGUGAGUGAAGAAGGCCUUGGGGUUGUAAAGCCCUUUUGUUGGGAAAGAAAAGCAGCAGGUGAAUAACGCGCUGUUCUGACGGUACCCAAAGAAUAAGCACCGGCUAACUUCGUG